UUCCAUAUGAUCUAAGAGAAACAUAUUGAGAGCUUUAGUUUUGAGAAGUUUCUAAAGCUAAUAAGAAAAGUUGUUCUUAUAACUCUUUGUGUUUCUAAGAGAUUUGAUCAUAAGGAUGUGAUUUUUUUGUGUUUUGUGAUGUCAAAAGUAUAUGCUCGAUCUAGUUUUCAAAACCAACGGAUGAAGUUGUAAGGCGGGGCAAAUUUUCAAAGAGAAACUGCGUUUUAAAAUCAUCUCCAAGAGUGCACAAAAGAAAAAUCGUCUCCAAGAGAUAGUUGAUGAUCUGUUGUCGGAUUGUCGUGAGUUCUUGGUGUAAAGUUUGAUAUGAAUGUUAAAGUGUGUUAGUUGUCAAAAAAAAACUGUGUUUUAAAUCGCCGCUUAAAGUACGGCAAGUUUCACGUAAUUAUCAACGUGAGGUUGUUCAGCCAAAGAGGUGGGCGAUGCUUAUCGUGGUUUCUGAUAGGCG
This 466-nucleotide long non-coding RNA is filed under the name Brassica rapa (field mustard). RNAcentral describes it as "long non-coding RNA (BRAP_LNC000424)". Lineage: Eukaryota; Viridiplantae; Streptophyta; Magnoliopsida; Brassicales; Brassicaceae. The record is from RNAcentral.